Molecule: long non-coding RNA, 324 nt
Organism: Magnolia sinica
Lineage: Eukaryota; Viridiplantae; Streptophyta; Magnoliopsida; Magnoliales; Magnoliaceae
Exons: 3
Source: RefSeq, a predicted model, not a curated record
GUAGAAGUUACUUGGCAUGUGUGAGGCAAAUGGAUGUGACAUAGUGAGUGGUCACUAAUGCAAGUUCAUUUAUGAAUGGUUAUUGACUAUUUUAACAAGGCACUAGAGGGCUCAAGUAUAGAUCUGUCAUAAACCAGUAUCUCUGUGUAGAUUGAUCUUGGGAAACAAACAAUUACAUGACCGCCACUGCUAAGCAAGAAAUCUUGAAGGAAAAAAGAACGGCUAGAUGGAAAAGUAUUGCCUCCUGCAAAAUAGAGAGAAAUGUAAAGGAGAUUGGUGCAAAGGGAAGAGGAUCUUUAUAGCAUGUGUCAGAUUUGGGAUAUU